ACUCAAAUGAAUUGACGGGGGCUCGCACAAGCGGUGGAGCAUGUGGUUUAAUUCGAUGGUAAGCGAAGAACCUUACCUGGGCUUGAACGUGUAGUGACAGUCGAUGAAAGUCGAUCUCCCUUCGGGGCACUAUGCGAGGUGCUGCAUGGCUGUCGUCAGCUCGUGUUGUGAAAUGUUGGGUUAAGUCCCGCAACGAGCGCAACCCCCAUCCUAUGUUGCCAUCAUUCAGUUGGGCACUCUUAGGAAACCGCCCUGGUUAACGGGGAGGAAGGCGGGGAUGACGUCAAGUCCUCAUGGCCCUUAUGUCCAGGGCUACACACGUGCUACAAUGGGGCGUACAAAGGGCUGCCAAGUCGCAAGACCAAGCAAAUCCCAAAAAACGCUUCUCAAUUCGGAUUGGAGUCUGCAACCCGACUCCAUGAAGCCGGAAUCGCUAGUAAUCACAGAUCAGCACGCUGUGGUGAAUACGUUCUCGAGCCUUGUACACACCGCCCGU
Molecule: ribosomal RNA, 496 nt
Filed under: uncultured bacterium
Lineage: Bacteria
Description: partial 16S ribosomal RNA
Rfam family: Bacterial small subunit ribosomal RNA
Source: RNAcentral